This 307-nucleotide ribosomal RNA is filed under the name uncultured bacterium. RNAcentral's name for it is "bacterial SSU rRNA". It matches the Rfam family "Bacterial small subunit ribosomal RNA", at positions 28 to 334 of the family's 1533-position model. The record is from RNAcentral.
GACGAACGCUGGCGGCGUGCCUAACACAUGCAAGUCGAACGGAGUGAUGAUUUCGGUUAUCACUUAGUGGCGAACGGGUGAGUAACGCGUGAGAAACCUGCCUUUCAGUGGGGGACAACAGUUGGAAACGACUGCUAAUACCGCAUAACGCUUGAGGGUGGCAUCACCUUUAAGCCAAAGGAGCAAUCCGCUGUAAGAUGGCCUCGCGUCUGAUUAGCUAGUUGGUGGGGUAACGGCCCACCAAGGCGACGAUCAGUAGCCGGACUGAGAGGUUGGCCGGCCACAUUGGGACUGAGACGCGGCCCAG